Molecule: long non-coding RNA, 542 nt
Filed under: Panax ginseng (ginseng)
Lineage: Eukaryota; Viridiplantae; Streptophyta; Magnoliopsida; Apiales; Araliaceae
Description: long non-coding RNA (PGIN_LNC009418)
Source: RNAcentral
AAGAAAAGGCUACUGUAAGAGCAUGGAUGAGAUAUUUGAAAAAUGUAUAAAAAUAUUUCAAGUAUAGAAUAUGAACUAAAAGUAUGAUCACUGCGAUUAUGUGAUGACGUGAUUAGACUAUGUGCUGACUGUAAUAGACAGUACUAUGUGUUAUGAUAUAUUGUUCUAAUCGAACGAAUGAUCUGAUUAUUGAUAGGUUAUGAUAAAGAGAUAAAACCUAAGUUAAGAUUUGUAAUCAGCGAAUCAGGCAAAUAUCUUACCUUUGCAUUUCCUUUAUGCCAUGGACAUGAGUAAGAAGUUUCAGAAUUAUUCUAUUCCUGUACAGAUUAUGUACGCUUUGAUUAUCAACAUGUUAACUCAAAUAUAUAUUCUGUUAAGUUGAUUUCUAAAUGGUUAUACAAGUGUCCCCACUUGGAUAAUCAUGGCAUUUAUUCACAUGUUGAUAUACCUUUGUCAAUUACCCGUAUAUAUAUAUGUUGAAUUACAUAUUAUUGUUGAGCAAGAUUAAAAACCUUCGGGUUUGGAACCAGGCAUGUAUGAAC